GGGUCCUUAAUGACGUCCACAGUUGCGACUGUCACACUACAAUAGUGACCUCUUCUGACCUGUAAACAACGAAUUUUCCCAACUGUUUUCAUCGAAUACAAUGCUUAUACGAGCAGUCAUCUCUACCGUGCCUCUGACAUGAGUCUCGUAUUCGAAACCAGUCAAAUCUACUGAUUUUUCAUACCGCACUGCAAUUCGCCUGCUGAAAGCAAGGAUAAGCCUAAACAAAUCUUCGAUACGAAAGCGCUUUAGGACACGUUGUCGUCCCAUAAAAACCCCAGAAAACGCCAUCUAUCUGCCAUAUUUUUCAACGUUCGUCGAACGCAAAAGGUUACGUACUACGCGGUUUGACUGUGUUUUCUUCAUCUGGCAGCUAUCGAACAGCUCCGUGGGGAUGCGCAGCUUGGUAAAUGCUUGCAGGUAUCCGCUAAGGCAACAUCCUGCAAGUUUGGUGUCCUUUCUCCUCGAAGCUGCUAAAGCUGCUACGAAAUCUUAAGACAAACGCCAACUGAAAAUGAUUGUCUAUAUAAAGUAAUUUUACGAUACAAAAGAAUAUUGUUCAUAGGGUCAGCGCAUCAACUGCAUAGCAUUUUAAUCAUGUGAUACUGUUUGUGUGGUGCCAUAUGAGAAACUCUCGUUAUUUAAUAAAAGAUGUAGUUCGGCGUAGCCCCAGAUCCGGCCAGAAUAAAUUCUACUAGGUAAAUAUCGCAUGCCGCUACUUCCGAACUUCGCCAGAACUUCUGUAAAAAUAGACCUCGUCAUGACAAAAGUUUAUCUAGUCACAUAAGUAUUGUCCCUACUGAUUUAACAGCAGCUUAAUAUCACUAAUUUCAGAUAACAGAAUUGUAUACUUGUAAAGCACUUUUCCGGUCCCAAAUCAAAAGUUGUCGUCAAGUGAUUACUGAAUGGAAAAUUAGAAGAUAAACUUGAUAAGACGGUCUUCAACGAACCUGGAGCCGUGCGGUCAUUAACCAGGCCCGGUGUUCUGACUGCGGUUGACAUGAAAUAGUAUCGAUCUCGAUAUGCUUUAUAUUUAUAGAUUUAAGCGUUUUUAGAGCCGAUCUUUCGAUUAUGACAGCAGUCGUUUCUGUGAAAUAUAAAAAGAUGGGAGCUGAAGAUGCCAGCUAGAAAUAGUUCCUGCCUAAAACAAUAUAUGUAGACAAUAAAACUUGCAAAAAUGAAGUGGCUGGAGAGUGAAAGUAUGUGCUAGUGAGUUGUGUAACCGUUUACCUUUCUAUAAUUAACAAUAAUAAUGCAUUUGUUACAAAAACAAUUUUUACUCUGAUGGCUCCCUGAAUAUAUAAUUUGCAAAUGAUGACGCCUAGUUUGUAAUAACUAGUUCACACGUACUGCUUACGAAGUACUAAAAAAGAACCCUUUAUACCAAAUUUUUAUUUCAAAGACCCUUCUCCCUGAACUAGAUAUUUCAGCUUUUAUCAGUACGUAUCAUAUAUACAUCAGUACAUACCCUUUUAUAAAGCUGUAGGCUUGGGACAUGUUAUUAUAUAUUAAAUUGAUGCCCAAAUAACAAGGUAUCUACAGUUGUCGUUAAACGUUUUUUAAAUCAAGUUAAUGGUGCUGGAAUAUUUGGGAAAUAAUAAAAGUUUUAAUUUUGAAUAACGUUAUGAAAAUUUCUAUGUUAUUCGCCUUAAACUACCAUUGACACCGAAGUUUUUCUUUCGUAGAUUGUUCAGCAUACGAAUGAA
RNAcentral lists this long non-coding RNA (1706 nucleotides) under Varroa destructor (honeybee mite). RNAcentral describes it as "uncharacterized LOC111244655". The record is from RNAcentral. Lineage: Eukaryota; Metazoa; Arthropoda; Arachnida; Mesostigmata; Varroidae.